RNAcentral lists this small nuclear RNA (162 nucleotides) under Microtus ochrogaster (prairie vole). RNAcentral's name for it is "U1 spliceosomal RNA (ENSMOCG00000006330.1)". It matches the Rfam family "U1 spliceosomal RNA". Rfam says of the family: U1 is a small nuclear RNA (snRNA) component of the spliceosome (involved in pre-mRNA splicing). The record is from Rfam by way of RNAcentral. Lineage: Eukaryota; Metazoa; Chordata; Mammalia; Rodentia; Cricetidae.
GCUCUUACCUGGCAGGGAAGAUGCCGUGAUCAUGAAGAUGGUUUUCCCAGGGAGAGGCUUAUCCAUUGCACUCUGGUUGUGCUGACCCCCGAGAUCUCCCCCAAUGCAGGAAACUUGACUAUAUAAUUUGUGGUAGUGGGGGACCACAUUCAAUCUCCCCAC